AGCUUUGCACAGUGGCAGUAUCAUAGCCAAUGAGGUUUAUCCAAGGCGCGAUUAUUGCUAAUUGAAAACGUUUCCCAAUACCCCGCUGUGACGACUUGCAGAGAACAGUCUGCACUGGCCAUUUUGACAGUCUCUACGGAGA
Small nuclear RNA from Callithrix jacchus (white-tufted-ear marmoset), 142 nucleotides. Its record names the gene U4. It matches the Rfam family "U4 spliceosomal RNA". Rfam says of the family: U4 small nuclear RNA (U4 snRNA) is a component of the major U2-dependent spliceosome. The structure of U4 snRNA from yeast and human has been reported. U4 snRNA presents a k-turn RNA motif in the 5p-SL related to recognition of Snu13 protein. The record is from Ensembl. NCBI's taxonomy places the organism in Eukaryota, Metazoa, Chordata, Mammalia, Primates, Cebidae.